GUGCAUUUUUUAAAAAAAAUAAUUAUAUAUGUAUAUAAAUUUAUGAAGGUUGACCAGUUGUCUCUGUGGAAUUUUUUUUUUAUGUAGGUUGACCAGUUGACCUUUUGAACUUUAUUGAGUGAAUGCAUGAAAUCACGGGGAAGGACAGACACUUCACCUACUUCUUUUUUUGGGGGGGUGGUCUUUCAUCAGUUGUCCUGAACCCCACACACAUUUAUUUAUUUAUUUAUUUGUUUUUUCACUCAUUCAUUAAUUUUGUUCAUCUAUUUCUUUUCCUGUCUUUGUCUAUGCAUUCAUUCAUUCAUUCAUUUACUUAUUUAUUUGAUGUGUACCAAUGUGCAUGUACACCUUUAUACCAGAAGAGGGCAUCACAUCCUAGGGAAUUGUCAGGAACUGCCUUGUCAACCAGCCUGCUUUGUCUUUUUCCAUUUCCUCUUUAUCGUCUUUCCUUCCUUCCUUCUUUCCUUCCUUCCUUCUUUCCUUCCUUCCUUCUUUCCUUCCUUCUGUUAAGUUUUAUUUUACUUUUAUUAUUAUUUUUUUGUUGAGGCAGAUUUCCUCUAACACUAACCCUGUGGAUUUUUUUAUUGUUUUUGAAUAUUAGGGAUAUUCAAAAUUUGUGGUUAUGCUUCCUGUGAUUUGGUCACAUGAAUUAUGAGAUGAGACUAUACCAGCUCUGCUUCUGAAUCUAUGUGUCUGUUCAUCAGUGGUGGUGGUAGUGAUGGAUUUUUUUCUUUCUCUCUUUUCUUUUUCUUUUUUUUUUUUUUUCUUUCGAGACAGGCAGGGUUUUCCUGGAUAUCCUGCUCUCUUGUUUGAAUUUUGGUUUCUAGCAGACAGGGCUUUUCUAGUCCUGAACCUGUGUAUAGCUUGUUUAUUUAUUUAUUUAUAAAUGUAUUUAUUUGUAAUAUGAGUCAAUUAUUUUCAUUUUUCCUAUCUCUCUUGCCCUGCCUGGCUAUCCUGGCAACAUCUGGCUGAGAAAAACAUGCUUGCCUCCAACUCACUCGUGCUGGGGCUAAAAGAGAUCCACCUGCCUCUGGGACUAUACACCAGCCCGCCUGUGACAUGCAAAAAAAGAAGGAACUUCAUCACCUCAACAUAAGAAGGAAGACUCCUGCUUCACUCAGGGGAUACAGGCAGGUCCUAAGAAACUGUGUGGAGGAGGAGACUGCCACUAUCUGAGGGUGAGUCAGGAUUCUGCCAAUAGCAUUUCAUUGAGAAAAUAUCCCACCUUAUAUUAUAGUUGCACCUAGGAUUAAAUGGGAGACAAGGGGAAUAUGUACUGUGGGUGUGGCUUGCCGUCAGGGGUUGAGGGUCUAACAACAGGCACCAGUCUUCAUAGAUUUUUGUCUUUGUUGUUGUUUGUUUUGAUUUUUGGCUUCUUGUGGGUUUGUUUGCUUGCUUGCUUGCUUGCUUGUUUGUUUGUUUUUGAGACUCAUUUUCUCUGUGUAGCCUUGGCUGUCCUGGAACAACUUGGUUGUGUUUGACCAGGUUGGCCUAGGACUCACUGAGAUAUGCCUGGCUCUGCCUCCCCAGUGAGCAAGCACUGGGAUUAAAGACUUGUACCACCCCUGCCUGGGAACACCAGUCAUAUGUUAAUGGAAGGGCCAUUGAGUUCCUCCCUAGGGAAGGAAGGAAUGGAGACCCUUAUCAAAUGCCUGAUCUCGGGGAAGUAUAACUUCUGGGGAGCAGACGCUUAAUGACACUGCCGUUUCUCCCCUGCUAACUCACCCAAAAGGGAAGGUUCUGACAUCUCAGUCUUCUACUAGGAUAAUGUACCAUUCUGAUUUCACUGUGUUUAUCAGUGAGCUGAAUUCUUGCCUUUAAUGGGUUCAGGCUCCCUUGGACUCUAACCCCUGUAGGCAUUUCAUCACUGCCAUCUGGCGUGUCUAGUAAAUUUCUAACAUUCCUAUUCCUGUUCAUUAGGAGGGCACAGUGGAAUUCCUGGUCCCCUGGUGUCGGGGAUUUUGUUUUUCCCACAAAGAAUUAUUUUGUUUAGAGAGCCUAGGCUAUCACUAUACACGAUUUUUGUCCUCUACCAAAGCUCACACUAAAUUUCCCAAAGGGAAAAGCAUUGAUGAUAUCAAGAACGAUUAGGAAUGAAAGUUAAAAAGGUGCUGGACAAGUGUGGUCUGCUUGCAAUGUUGAAAUGUUGGAACUUUGUCAAAUGGCAAUGGUCACCAAGUGGUGGUCCAUGCCACAUUCCUUCCUCUUGACUCAUAUGCCCUCUUUCACUGUAUACUCAAUAAUGUAAACAAGUGAAUAAAUAAAUAAAUGGAUGGAUGGAUAAAUAAAUGAAUGAAAAUUU
Molecule: long non-coding RNA, 2302 nt
Organism: Mesocricetus auratus (golden hamster)
Lineage: Eukaryota; Metazoa; Chordata; Mammalia; Rodentia; Cricetidae
Exons: 2
Source: RefSeq, a predicted model, not a curated record